GAUGAAGAACGUAGCGAAAUGCGAUAAGUAAUGUGAAUUGCAGAAUUCAGUGAAUCAUCGAAUCUUUGAACGCACAUUGCGCCCUCUGGUAUUCCGGGGGGCAUGCCUGUUCGAGCGUCAUUACAACCCUCAAGCUUUGCUUGGUAUUGGACAUUGCCAGUUUCUGGCAGGUCUUAAAAUCAGUGGCUGUGCCAUUUGGCUUCAAGCGUAGUAAUUCUUCUCGCUUUGGAGAUCCAGGUGGUUACUUGCCAAUAACCCCCAAUUUUUUCAGGUUGACCUCGGAUCAGGUAGGGAUACCCGCUGAACUUAAGCAUAUCAAUAAGCGGAGGA
This 330-nucleotide unclassified non-coding RNA is filed under the name soil metagenome. RNAcentral's name for it is "partial contains 5.8S ribosomal RNA, internal transcribed spacer 2, and large subunit ribosomal RNA". The stretch from base 1 to 120 matches the Rfam family "5.8S ribosomal RNA", at positions 35 to 154 of the family's 154-position model. The record is from RNAcentral.